GACGAACGCUGGCGGCGUGCUUAACACAUGCAAGUCGAACGGAAAGGCCCUGCUUUUGUGGGGUGCUCGAGUGGCGAACGGGUGAGUAACACGUGAGUAACCUGCCCUUGACUUUGGGAUAACUUCAGGAAACUGGGGCUAAUACCGGAUAGGAGCUCCUGCGGCAUGGGGGGGGUUGGAAAGUUUCGGCGGUUGGGGAUGGACUCGCGGCUUAUCAGCUUGUUGGUGGGGUAGUGGCUUACCAAGGCUUUGACGGGUAGCCGGCCUGAGAGGGUGACCGGCAACAUUGGGACUGAGAUGCGGCCCAGACUCCUACGGGAGGCAGCAGUGGGGAAUAUUGCACAAUGGGCGGAAGCCUGAUGCAGCAACGCCGCGUGCGGGAUGACGGCCUUCGGGUUGUAAACCGCUUUCGCCUGUGACGAAGAGUGAGUGACGGUAAUGGGUAAAGAAGCACCGGCUAACUACGUG
RNAcentral lists this ribosomal RNA (468 nucleotides) under uncultured bacterium. RNAcentral describes it as "partial 16S ribosomal RNA". It matches the Rfam family "Bacterial small subunit ribosomal RNA", at positions 28 to 507 of the family's 1533-position model. The record is from RNAcentral.